CGCGUAGGCGGUCCGGUAAGUCCGCUCUGAAAGUCCGGGGCUCAACCCCGGGAGGCGGGCGGAUACUGCCGGGCUAGAGUCCGGAAGAGGCGAGUGGAAUUCCUGGUGUAGCGGUGAAAUGCGCAGAUAUCAGGAGGAACACCGAUGGCGAAGGCAGCUCGCUGGGACGGUACUGACGCUGAGGCGCGAAAGCGUGGGGAGCAAACA
This 207-nucleotide ribosomal RNA is filed under the name uncultured bacterium. RNAcentral describes it as "partial 16S ribosomal RNA". It matches the Rfam family "Bacterial small subunit ribosomal RNA", at positions 568 to 774 of the family's 1533-position model. The record is from RNAcentral.